RNAcentral lists this unclassified non-coding RNA (473 nucleotides) under Hevea brasiliensis (rubber tree). Lineage: Eukaryota; Viridiplantae; Streptophyta; Magnoliopsida; Malpighiales; Euphorbiaceae. The record is from RNAcentral.
GGGGGGUUGCUGGGCGGCUGCUUGAUGGUGCCUCCGAUCUGCGGCCGCUCCCGGGGCUUGGGCUCGAUGGGCGUCCACUGCUCGCCACGCACAGCCGCCAGUAGGUAGAUGCCGCUCGCAAUGGCCAGGCAGGCGGUCCCAAGGAUGGUGGCCAGCAGGAAGCCGGCGGGCACCGAGAGCAGGAGAUGCAGGACGGCCCGAACAUAGUAAUUCCUGGUAAAGGGCCCGAACAGCUUCACCACGGCGGUCAUGUGCUUCUGUCCCCAGCGCUCCAUGGUGGAGCCCUUCGUCCUCUUCCCCCGGGGGUACUCCAGCAGGCACACAAACACGCCCGCCACAAUGGAGUAGGCACCAAAGUACCACUGGGUGAAGCGCCCAGCUGUGGCCACGAUGCCCCCGGUGAUGAGGAUCAGGCCGGACGCCAGCGCCUGCUCGUUGGCCCACAUGGCCCACUCGAUCUGCCCCAUGGCGAC